GUUGGCUAGAUGGUUCCACCUGUUCCCAUUCCGAACACAGUAGUUAAGCAUCUAUACGCUGAAAGUACUUGGCUGGUGACGGCCUGGGAGGAUAAGGAAUUGCCG
Molecule: ribosomal RNA, 105 nt
Filed under: bovine gut metagenome
Source: RNAcentral